AGCUAGUCCCACACCCCACGGCGAGGGCCGCAAAGGCGGUGGGGACUUCUGGCUGCCCCGAGGCUGCUUCAGCCGCUUCUGCUUCCGCGGCUGGCCAAGGCCGCAGGUGCGGAUUUUCCCAUGUUAGACGCGAUGGAUCGGCGGGAGAAGCCCAGCUGCCUAGCCCGGGUCUAGUGUGUCUGAUCCAGCGCUGUUUUUGCUGCUACUACCCGGGGGAGGGGAGAGGCAGGCGAAUGGGAACCGCGGUCAGUCCUCGGAGCCCCAAAACAGCUAAUGACCCUCGCUACGCCGGCACUUUCGGAAAGCAACAGGAACUCAUCACCCGCUCGGCCCUGCCAGCGAAGGAAGACGGACUUGCUGGACUGCACAAAGCCAGAACCAGAAAUCCCAUUAAAGCCUCAAGGCAUCAAUCUCUUUCAGCUCCAAGUGCAGGAAAAGUAUGAGAAACUGUCUCUGGAAAGCUAAGGCAGGAUGAAAAAGAAACUGCCCCUAAUGGAGACUGAGAACCUGCCCCUUUGGGAUUCCCAGGCUUUCUAAUCUGCCAAUAUUGGGAUUAAAGCCUUGUAAUAUAUGGAGUGUGAAACCUCGGCUAGGCAUGAACUCAUCCCAUUUUCAUUAAGGUCUCUUUUGAGGUGGCAUCGAGGACCAGCUGCCAGGAUGAACAAACACCA
Molecule: long non-coding RNA, 671 nt
Organism: Crotalus tigris (Tiger rattlesnake)
Lineage: Eukaryota; Metazoa; Chordata; Lepidosauria; Squamata; Viperidae
Exons: 2
Source: RefSeq, a predicted model, not a curated record